This 1218-nucleotide ribosomal RNA is filed under the name Listeria monocytogenes. RNAcentral's name for it is "partial 23S ribosomal RNA". It matches the Rfam family "Bacterial large subunit ribosomal RNA", at positions 321 to 1538 of the family's 2925-position model. Lineage: Bacteria; Bacillati; Bacillota; Bacilli; Caryophanales; Listeriaceae. The record is from RNAcentral.
AGAAAGUUAUAAAUGAAGCGGUCUGGAAAGGCCCGCCAAAGACGGUAACAGCCCGGUAGUUGAAAUGGCUUUCCCUCCAGAGUGGAUCCUGAGUACGGCGGAACACGUGAAAUUCCGUCGGAAUCCGGGAGGACCAUCUCCCAAGGCUAAAUACUCCCUAGUGACCGAUAGUGAACCAGUACCGUGAGGGAAAGGUGAAAAGCACCCCGGAAGGGGAGUGAAACAGUUCCUGAAACCGUGUGCCUACAAGUAGUUAGAGCCCGUUAAUGGGUGAUAGCGUGCCUUUUGUAGAAUGAACCGGCGAGUUACGAUUUGUUGCAAGGUUAAGCGGAAAAAGCGGAGCCGUAGCGAAAGCGAGUCUGAAUAGGGCGCAUAAGUAACAGGUCGUAGACCCGAAACCAGGUGAUCUACCCAUGUCCAGGAUGAAGGUAAGGUAAUACUUACUGGAGGUCCGAACCCACGCACGUUGAAAAGUGCGGGGAUGAGGUGUGGGUAGCGGAGAAAUUCCAAUCGAACUUGGAGAUAGCUGGUUCUCUCCGAAAUAGCUUUAGGGCUAGCCUCGAGGUAAAGAGUCAUGGAGGUAGAGCACUGUUUGGACUAGGGGCCCUUCUCGGGUUACCGAAUUCAGAUAAACUCCGAAUGCCAUGUACUUAUACUCGGGAGUCAGACUGCGAGUGAUAAGAUCCGUAGUCGAAAGGGAAACAGCCCAGACCACCAGUUAAGGUCCCCAAAUAUAUGUUAAGUGGAAAAGGAUGUGGGGUUGCUUAGACAACCAGGAUGUUGGCUUAGAAGCAGCCACCAUUGAAAGAGUGCGUAAUAGCUCACUGGUCGAGUGACCCCGCGCCGAAAAUGUACCGGGGCUAAACAUAUUACCGAAACUGUGGAUGAACCUCUUUAGAGGUUCGUGGUAGGAGAGCGUUCUAAGGGCGGUGAAGUCAGACCGGAAGGACUGGUGGAGCGCUUAGAAGUGAGAAUGCCGGUAUGAGUAGCGAAAGAAGGGUGAGAAUCCCUUCCACCGAAUAUCUAAGGUUUCCUGAGGAAGGCUCGUCCGCUCAGGGUUAGUCGGGACCUAAGCCGAGGCCGAUAGGCGUAGGCGAUGGACAACAGGUAGAGAUUCCUGUACCAGUGCUAAUUGUUUAACCGAUGGGGUGACACAGAAGGAUAGGGAAUCGCACGAAUGGAAAUGUGCGUCCAAGCAGUGAGUGUGAGAAGUAGGCA